This 496-nucleotide ribosomal RNA is filed under the name uncultured bacterium. Its description in RNAcentral is "partial 16S ribosomal RNA". It matches the Rfam family "Bacterial small subunit ribosomal RNA", at positions 29 to 507 of the family's 1533-position model. The record is from RNAcentral.
AUGAACGCUGGCGGCGUGCCUAAUACAUGCAAGUCGAGCGAACGGACGAGAAGCUUGCUUCUCUGAUGUUAGCGGCGGACGGGUGAGUAACACGUGGAUAACCUACCUAUAAGACUGGGAUAACUUCGGGAAACCGGAGCUAAUACCGGAUAAUAUUUUGAACCGCAUGGUUCAAAAGUGAAAGACGGUCUUGCUGUCACUUAUAGAUGGAUCCGCGCUGCAUUAGCUAGUUGGUAAGGUAACGGCUUACCAAGGCAACGAUGCAUAGCCGACCUGAGAGGGUGAUCGGCCACACUGGAACUGAGACACGGUCCGGACUCCUACGGGAGGCAGCAGUAGGGAAUCUUCCGCAAUGGGCGAAAGCCUGACGGAGCAACGCCGCGUGAGUGAUGAAGGUCUUCGGAUCGUAAAACUCUGUUAUUAGGGAAGAACAUAUGUGUAAGUAACUGUGCACAUCUUGACGGUACCUAAUCAGAAAGCCACGGCUAACUACGUG